GCACCCAUGGAGCAGAAGUUAGCUCAUUCCUCUUACAUGGUCUAAUGGGGGCAGGAAAGACCUAGGUGCAAAUCCCAGUGGGUGCA
Non-coding RNA from Hypoxylon sp. FL1857, 86 nucleotides. The record is from the annotation of a GenBank genome assembly. NCBI's taxonomy places the organism in Eukaryota, Fungi, Ascomycota, Sordariomycetes, Xylariales, Hypoxylaceae.